CACGGAAAGAACAAGAUUACACUGGAUAACAUUCCAGAUUAUUGUCAGUGACAUCUGUAGUGAAAAGAAAUUUCAGAUAGUAGCUAGGAUAUUCUAGAUUAUACUGAGUAUAAAUUUGGAUUAUACUCAGUGGAAUCUUGGAUUAUACCCAGUGAUAUCUCCGCGAUUUUUCUAACACCUUCGCACUUAGCAUUAUUAUAUACUAUG
Long non-coding RNA from Cotesia glomerata, 207 nucleotides. RefSeq lists it as uncharacterized. The transcript is spliced from 3 exons. The record is from RefSeq and is a predicted model, not a curated record. Lineage: Eukaryota; Metazoa; Arthropoda; Insecta; Hymenoptera; Braconidae.